Molecule: long non-coding RNA, 351 nt
Organism: Carassius carassius (crucian carp)
Lineage: Eukaryota; Metazoa; Chordata; Actinopteri; Cypriniformes; Cyprinidae
Exons: 3
Source: RefSeq, a predicted model, not a curated record
GCCACUAAACUGGAGAGUGUAGCUGCCAGGAAAGCACUGGUAAAGGAUAUUCGACAAUUGUCACCUCAACAUCAGACAUUCUCCCUGGAGGCCGACCAUUCCCUCAUUCUGCACUUUGCUCCCAAACACACUGGCUUUUCUUUUCUUGGGAUGUACAGCAGACUUCUUUUGGCAGCCCUACAUUUCAAUAGUAAUGGCAACAGAGAUGUAGCGCGAACUAGUGAGGGUGAGGGCCGCUACGCUGUUCGCUACCCACGGUUUCGGAAAGGUGGCUGGGUAGUCCACCCCAUCAAGGAGAAACCAUCUUACGGAUACGCAACAAAUCUUAUGGUCUCUCUGUUAGAGGAAUAC